GGCGUAAACAAAGGGAAGCGAGCCUGUGAGGGGGAGCGAAUCCCAAAAAUAACGUCUCAGUUCGGAUUGUAGUCUGCAACUCGACUACAUGAAGCUGGAAUCGCUAGUAAUCGCGAAUCAGAAUGUCGCGGUGAAUACGUUCCCGGGUCUUGUACACACCGCCCGUCACACCAUGGGAGUUGGUAACGCCCGAAGCCAGUGACCUAACCGAAAGGGAGGAGCUGUCGAAGGCGGGACCGAUAACUGGGGUGAAGUCGUAACAAGGUACC
This 269-nucleotide ribosomal RNA is filed under the name uncultured bacterium. RNAcentral's name for it is "partial 16S ribosomal RNA". It matches the Rfam family "Bacterial small subunit ribosomal RNA", at positions 1232 to 1500 of the family's 1533-position model. The record is from RNAcentral.